CGUGUAGGCGGCCAGGUAGGUCUGCUGUGAAAACUCGAGGCUUAACCUCGAGACGUCGGCGGAAACCAUCUGGCUAGAGUCCGGAAGAGGAGAGUGGAAUUCCUGGUGUAGCGGUGAAAUGCGCAGAUAUCAGGAAGAACACCCGUGGCGAAGGCGGCUCUCUGGGACGGUACUGACGCUGAGACGCGAAAGCGUGGGGAGCGAGCA
This 207-nucleotide ribosomal RNA is filed under the name uncultured bacterium. Its description in RNAcentral is "partial 16S ribosomal RNA". It matches the Rfam family "Bacterial small subunit ribosomal RNA", at positions 568 to 774 of the family's 1533-position model. The record is from RNAcentral.